Molecule: ribosomal RNA, 922 nt
Filed under: uncultured bacterium
Lineage: Bacteria
Description: bacterial SSU rRNA
Rfam family: Bacterial small subunit ribosomal RNA
Source: RNAcentral
GAGUUUGAUCAUGGCUCAGGAUGAACGCUAGCGACAGGCUUAACACAUGCAAGUCGAGGGGCAGCGGUGGUGAAGGCUUGCCUUCACCAGCCGGCGACCGGCGCACGGGUGAGUAACACGUAUGCAACCUGCCUGCCACAGCCGGAUAAUCGGGAGAAAUUCCGUCUAAUACGGCAUAAUGCAUCGACGGGACAUCCUGUUGGUGCCAAAGGUUAAUUCCGGUGGCGGAUGGGCAUGCGUCGCAUUAGUUAGUUGGCGGUGUAACGGACCACCAAGACGACGAUGCGUAGGGGUUCUGAGAGGAAGGUCCCCCACACUGGUACUGAGACACGGACCAGACUCCUACGGGAGGCAGCAGUGAGGAAUAUUGGUCAAUGGGCGGGAGCCUGAACCAGCCAAGUCGCGUGAGGGAUGACGGCCCUAUGGGUUGUAAACCUCUUUUGCCGGGGAGCAAAGUGCCGCACGUGUGCGGUUUGGAGAGUACCCGGAGAAAAAGCAUCGGCUAACUCCGUGCCAGCAGCCGCGGUAAUACGGAGGAUGCGAGCGUUAUCCGGAUUUAUUGGGUUUAAAGGGUGCGUAGGCGGACGCUUAAGUCAGCGGUAAAAUUGCGGGGCUCAACCUCGUCGAGCCGUUGAAACUGGGUGCCUUGAGUGGGCGAGAAGUACGCGGAAUGCGUGGUGUAGCGGUGAAAUGCAUAGAUAUCACGCAGAACUCCGAUUGCGAAGGCAGCGUACCGGCGCCCAACUGACGCUGAAGCACGAAGGCGUGGGUAUCGAACAGGAUUAGAUACCCUGGUAGUCCACGCAGUAAACGAUGAAUGCUAGUUGUCCGGGGCGAUUGAGUUCUGGGUGACACAGCGAAAGCGUUAAGCAUUCCACCUGGGGAGUACGCCGGCAACGGUGAAACUCAAAGGAAUUGACGG